GCCUUUGCAGCUGGAGACAGUACGCCGAACGACUCAAAAGAACUCGGCCGCAUGCAAGUCAGCGCCUGCUGGCGACACUUUCGAAUUGACGGGGACCCCCUAAAACCCUUCCCACCAAGCCAGCCCGGGAAACCGGCUGGUGGCCUGUUCUAACGCACAGGGUACGGUAACAGAGGAAGCGGAUGAACCGAGUGCUCUCUCCGGGGCCUUGGGGAAAUGGGCGAUCCGCAGCGAAGCCCCUUCUCUGCCCCCGCGGCAGAUGGGGAACGUCCACAGACUAAGUGGAAGUGGGUGGGGCACUGCCCUGCUUAAGAUAUAGUCGGGCCCCUGGGGAAACCUUGGGGAGCGUGGCACUCGCAGGUGCCAGUCGAAAAAACCGUUCCGUAGGUGAACCUUCGGAAGGAUCAUUACCAUAACGCGGUUGCCCGGUCAGGGCAGCCACACGCGUUCUUACCACCCUUGACUUUGAGCACCUUCAUGUUUCCUCGGCAGGGACGCCUGCCAGCGAGGACCCCCCAAAAACCUUUUGCAGUUUGCAGUAUUUGUCUGAAAACAAACAUAAUAAUCAAAACUUUCAACAAUGGAUCUCUUGGUUCUGGCAUCGAUGAAGAACGCAGCGAAAUGCGAUAAGUAGUGUGAAUUGCAGAAUUCAGUGAAUCAUCGAAUCUUUGAACGCACAUUGCGCCCUAUAGUAUUCUGUAGGGCAUGCCUGUUCGAGCGUCAUUUAACCCCUCAAGCCCAGCUUGGUAUUGGGUGCUUGUCCCGCCUCCUGCGCGGCGACUCACCUCAAAGUCAUUGGCAGCCCGCAAUCGCCGGCCGUGAGCGCAGCACAGACGCGCUUGUGGAAUCCGGCGGCUCGGCUCUCCAAAAGCUUGUUUCAACCACAAUUGACCUCGGAUCAGGUAGGGAUACCCGCUGAACUUAAGCAUAUCAAUAAGCGGAGGAAAAGAAACCAACAGGGAUUGCCUCAGUAACGGCGAGUGAAGCGGCAACAGCUCAAAUUUGAAAUCUGGCCCUUUCAGGGUCCGAGUUGUAAUUUGCAGAGGGUGCUUUGGCGUCGGCCGUGGUCUAAGUUCCUUGGAACAGGACGUCACAGAGGGUGAGAAUCCCGUACGUGGCCGCCGGUCUUCGCCGUGUAAAGCCCCUUCGACGAGUCGAGUUGUUUGGGAAUGCAGCUCUAAAUGGGAGAUACAUUUCUUCUAAAGCUAAAUAUUGGCCAGAGACCGAUAGCGCACAAGUAGAGUGAUCGAAAGAUGAAAAGCACUUUGGAAAGAGAGUCAAAAAGCACGUGAAAUUGUUGAAAGGGAAGCGCUUGCAGCCAGACGUGCCCGCAGUUGCUCACCCAGGCUCUUGCCUGGGGCACUCUUCUGCGGGCAGGCCAGCAUCAGUUCGGGCGGUUGGAUAAAGGUCUCUAUCACGUACCACCCUUCGGGGUGUCCUUAUAGGGGAGACGCAACACGGCCAGCCUGAACUGAGGACCGC
This 1482-nucleotide ribosomal RNA is filed under the name Pleosporales sp. B1a1035EM2CC465. RNAcentral describes it as "eukaryotic LSU rRNA". The stretch from base 889 to 1482 matches the Rfam family "Eukaryotic large subunit ribosomal RNA", at positions 1 to 599 of the family's 3401-position model. The record is from RNAcentral. Lineage: Eukaryota; Fungi; Ascomycota; Dothideomycetes; Pleosporales.